CCUACGGGUGGCUGCAGUAAGGGAUAUUGGACAAUGGGGGAAACCCUGAACCAGCAACGCCGCGUGAGGGAAGACGGUUUUCGGAUUGUAAACCUCUGUCAUCUGUGAAGAUGAUGCUGGUAGCAGUGACCGAAGCUACGGCCAACUACGUGCCAGGAGCCGCGGUAAUACGUAGGGAGCGAGCGCUGUCCGGAUGUACUGGGUGUAAAGGGUGCGUAGGCGGCUUGGCAAGUAAGUAGUGAAAUCCAUGGGCUGAGCCCAUGAACUGCUAUUGACACUGUCGAGCUUGAGUUAAGUAGAGGGAGGCGGAAUUCCCGGUGUAGCGGUGAAAUGCGUAGAGAUCGGGAGGAACACCAGUGGCGAAGGCGGCCUACUGGGCUUUGACUGACGCUGAGGUGCGAAAGCGUGGGUAGCAAACAGGAUUAGAUACCCUAGUAGUC
RNAcentral lists this ribosomal RNA (440 nucleotides) under uncultured bacterium. RNAcentral's name for it is "partial 16S ribosomal RNA". It matches the Rfam family "Bacterial small subunit ribosomal RNA", at positions 338 to 795 of the family's 1533-position model. The record is from RNAcentral.